This 439-nucleotide ribosomal RNA is filed under the name uncultured bacterium. RNAcentral describes it as "bacterial SSU rRNA". It matches the Rfam family "Bacterial small subunit ribosomal RNA", at positions 958 to 1400 of the family's 1533-position model. The record is from RNAcentral.
AACGCGAAGAACCUUACCUGGGUUUGACAUCCCACGAAGAUUGCAGAGAUGUAAUUGACCCGCAAGGGACGUGGAGACAGGUGCUGCAUGGCUGUCGUCAGCUCGUGUUGUGAAAUGUUGGGUUAAGUCCCGCAACGAGCGCAACCCUUGCCUUUGGUUGCCAUCAUUUAGUUGGGCACUCCAGAGGGACUGCCGUCGUCAAGACGGAGGAAGGUGGGGAUGACGUCAAGUCCUCAUGGCCUUUAUAUCCAGGGCGACACACGUGAUACAAUGGUAGGUACAAAGGGCAGCCAAGUGGUGACACGGAGCCAAUCCCAAAAAGCCUAUCUCAGUUCGGAUUGGAGUCUGCAACUCGACUCCAUGAAGUUGGAAUCGCUAGUAAUCGCGGAUCAGCACGCCGCGGUGAAUACGUUCCCGGGCCUUGUACACACCGUGUCGA